RNAcentral lists this long non-coding RNA (224 nucleotides) under Hordeum vulgare. RNAcentral's name for it is "long non-coding RNA (HVUL_LNC012980)". The record is from RNAcentral. Lineage: Eukaryota; Viridiplantae; Streptophyta; Magnoliopsida; Poales; Poaceae.
GCGAAUCCCGGAGGUGGGGAUUCCUAUGUCCAUGGAAAGAAAAAUCUCUGUGACGUGAGAAAGACAAAGGAAGAAGAUGAUCUCCUAUUGGGCUAGAAUAGGAAAGUGCUUAAUGGGCCAGCUCUUAUUUCCAUUUAAAAGUAAUUCCUUUCCUAUUUUUAAAACUAGGAAACUAAAACGAUAAAAAGAAAAUCAAAUCAAUUUGAAAUAAAGAGUUUCUAUAU